Carassius auratus (goldfish) is the source of this 1806-nucleotide long non-coding RNA. RefSeq lists it as uncharacterized. NCBI's taxonomy places the organism in Eukaryota, Metazoa, Chordata, Actinopteri, Cypriniformes, Cyprinidae. The record is from RefSeq and is a predicted model, not a curated record. The transcript has 10 exons.
UGUGUGUGUGUGUGUGUGUGUGUGUGUGUGUGUGUGUGUUGGUUUUUGUGGUUUACAAGGACUUUUGACCUGAAUACGCACCAGCAUUACAGGGACAUUUGGGUUUAUGAGGACAGGGCCCAUGUCCUUAUAAUUCCGACAGUGUAGAUGCCUUUCUCUAUGUCCCAGAAGCUCCCUCUCAAAGUUUCGCGCCAUGUCCUAAUAUACCACAAAAAUCUGAAAUUUUACUAUACACUGUGUAUCCUCUGAGCUCGGGAGUGCGCCCCUGCAGCCCGGACCCGGUACUGCAUCCGCGUCAUCGAAAAUUUGCAUAUUUUACACUUGUGUAAUUUUGGAGGCCGCUGAUUGGCUAGAUCGGCACCGGAGGGCGGGAAAUCGCGAAAACAAAAUGGCGGCGGUGGGCGGGGCUACAUUCUGCCGCUAAUAGCUCCGUACAAGUAAGUUAAUGCAGUUUGGUAAUUAUUUAAACAUUUCUUGCUAUAAUUUAUCGAUUGUAUAUGAUUAUAUAAAUGCAUAAUGAUCGUGCAAUUAAACAUAUUCCUUAAAUAUCAUCAUAUAACGUAUGAAUGUGACAUCAAAGCUGAAAUUACUCAGUUUAAUAUCAGUAUAUUAAUGUAACGCUAUUAAUGUAACAUUUCAUAGAUUGUUAUUUAAAUAUAUUAUUAUUAUUAUAAUUAUAAAUCCCGUAUACUCGUGCUCUAAUCAGCGAGGCAAGCGUGACGGUUUAUUACUUCCUGUUUGGACCGGACGCAAUCUGUGCACCUGAAGCGAAGACAUCUGUGGUGUGAAGCUGUUGGAAACAACUAUUAUAUUAAAGCAGACACAGGAUGGCUGAAGGUGCGAGGCGAAGGAGAAAGCUGAGGCCAUACAGUUUUCACUUCAACAGAAAGACCAUAAUGGGCUCAAGGGCAGGUUCAUCACUGAUCUUAAAGGGAGGGGUGUGUUCAGCUGUACUGACUUUGAGAAAGGAGAUUUCCUGCUGGAAUACAGAGGAGACCUCAUCAGCAAAGAAGAAUGUGAGCGGAGGCAAAGAAUAUAUCAUCAUGCACUUAAAGUUUUCAUGUUUGAGUUUCGCUACAAUGGAAAACUCCUCUGUGUCGAUGCAGCCCGAGAUGACGGUUCUCUUGGGUGGCUUGUAAACAAUGACCAUAUUAACCCAAACAGCAGGAUGAAGACGAUUCGUGUGGAUGGAAAACCUCACUUAUGUUUAUUUGCCACAAGGAGCAUCUGUCCUGGUGAAGAGAUCACAUAUGAUUAUGGUGAUUCUGAGUGGCCAUGGAGAUGCACGACUUUUCUAUAGUGUGGUUGAACCGUCCACUCUUGAAGUCAACACUCUGUCCCAGUCAGAAGACACAGACGUAUAGAAGGUGACUCUGAAGAAGGACCGGUUACUAUUGGAUGAUCAGGACUGUGUUGAGUAGAUGUCACCUGUCAAAGAGCAUGUGUUGAAUGAGGAGGUAUUCACAUGUGUCGGAUGAACUGUUAUUUCAGUGCAACAGUGAAUGCUCUGAAGUCUGAUGUCUUCAUGGGCUGUGAUAUACUUAGCUGUUACCAAAUAUGAGAUCAACAUGACGGAUUCUGAUGGUGAUCCUGAAGAAAGUGAUGGUGAUUCUGAAGAUGAUGCUCUUGCUGGAGCUGCAGGAGACUCCAGUAAUGCUGGUGUUCAGAAGAUGCCCAUUGAGAGCACCACUGAACUUCCUGAAGAGAGUGAGAGUGAGGCAGAAACUGAAAACCCACGGAGAGGGCAGAAAGUGUCCUGGUCAAAUGCUGAAGUUACAGCUGUAAUCAAACAUUUUAAGGACCACA